RNAcentral lists this microRNA precursor (63 nucleotides) under Mus musculus (house mouse). RNAcentral's name for it is "microRNA mmu-mir-12193 precursor". The record is from miRBase by way of RNAcentral. Lineage: Eukaryota; Metazoa; Chordata; Mammalia; Rodentia; Muridae.
ACUGGGUGACUGGAAAGGACAAGCUGAGGCCUGCUGGUUCCACCGGUCCUUUCUGUCCCCAGG